Molecule: ribosomal RNA, 253 nt
Filed under: uncultured bacterium
Lineage: Bacteria
Description: partial 16S ribosomal RNA
Rfam family: Bacterial small subunit ribosomal RNA
Source: RNAcentral
UACGGAGGGGGCUAGCGUUGUUCGGAAUUACUGGGCGUAAAGCGCACGUAGGCGGAUUGGAAAGUCGGGGGUGAAAUCCCAGGGCUCAACCCUGGAACUGCCUUCAAAACUCCCAGUCUGGAGGUCGAGAGAGGUGAGUGGAAUUCCGAGUGUAGAGGUGAAAUUCGUAGAUAUUCGGAGGAACACCAGUGGCGAAGGCGGCUCACUGGCUCGAUACUGACGCUGAGGUGCGAAAGCGUGGGGAGCAAACAGG